CUCCUCCUCCACAGCAUUUCCUUUGUUUGUUUGGGCUGCUGCAGGUCCACCUAUGGAAGCUGGCUGAAGAAUGCAACCACUUUCCACAGGCCUGCUGGAUAGAGGGGGUGGAGGGUGGGGUUGAGUAGGAAUAAACAUGCCACAACAGCCCAGUCUGCUGCUCUGUCCACCUGUGGCUCAGAUCCCACUUUAUUUUUUGGUAGUUUUUUUGUAUGUACUUACAGAAUACACGAAAGACUCAGUAGUGCAUCAUAUCAUCUGUCAUGAGCAGACUCUGUUUAAGUCCUACUUCUUGAGUGUAACACCAAAUAUAUGACAUCAGCUUUUUUCCCACAGCGUGGAGUAUUAUCAUCACACAAAGUCUGACUAUUCACUUUCCUCCAGUCCAGACCUGCAUUUUUAACUUCACAGGAGCUAAUGCGUUCAUGACGUGUCGCUACAGUAGCUGUGAUCCCCUCCUUACUCACUUGUCUGCUCUGACUCAAAUCUCUCCGCCGCUGUUGUUUUUAUUCAGGACGGUGAGAAAAACAAAGAUAUCCAGUGAGGAGCAGCUCUGUGGAUGGAGACGCUUUCCAGGUUCCCUCCUGAUUUUCUGACUGGGUUCACCUGGUUGGAGCCUAUUUCAGCUGGGAGGUCUCAAGAUGGCCUCCGUCUCUCCUAGCCCUCCUCUCAACUUGGUUUUGUUUGGUUUUGAAUUGUGUUUAGGUAAGACCUCACUUCUUGCACAGGUAGUUUAAGUGAGCUCUUCCAUUUUUCCCUUGCAUCCAACGCCUACACUACUCUACUGACUACUGACCUGAUGUUCUAG
Long non-coding RNA from Seriola aureovittata, 808 nucleotides. RefSeq lists it as uncharacterized. NCBI's taxonomy places the organism in Eukaryota, Metazoa, Chordata, Actinopteri, Carangiformes, Carangidae. The transcript is spliced from 3 exons. The record is from RefSeq and is a predicted model, not a curated record.